ACCGGGAUGUCGAUACACCGAAGAGCUACCAAACACGAUCACCAACAAGAGAGUAGCAAGUGCUGGCUUGGGGCUCAGAGCU
Molecule: transfer RNA, 82 nt
Filed under: Nicotiana tabacum (common tobacco)
Lineage: Eukaryota; Viridiplantae; Streptophyta; Magnoliopsida; Solanales; Solanaceae
Description: tRNA-Met
Source: RNAcentral